GAUGAACGCUAGCGGCAGGCCUAAUACAUGCAAGUCGAACGGUAAACGGCCCUUCGGGGCUGUGAGAGUGGCGCACGGGUGCGUAACGCGUAUGCAACCUACCCAAUGCUGGAGGAUAGCCCGGAGAAAUUCGGAUUAACCCUCCAUGAGGAGCCGAUGGGGCAUCCCAAUGGUUUCAAAUAUUCAUAGGCGUUGGAUGGGCAUGCGUGCUAUUAGGUAGUAGGCGGGGUAACGGCCCACCUAGCCUUCGAUCAUUAGGGGUUCUGAGAGGAAGGUCCCCCACACUGGAACUGAGACACGGUCCAGACUCCUACGGGAGGCAGCAGUGAGGAAUAUUGGUCAAUGGGCGAGAGCCUGAACCAGCCAAGUAGCGUGAGGGAUGACUGCCCUACGGGUUGUAAACCUCUUUGUCGGGGAAUAAACUGCGCCACGUGUGGCGCCCUGCAUGUACCCGCAGAAUAAGGACCGGCUAAUUCCGUG
RNAcentral lists this ribosomal RNA (480 nucleotides) under uncultured bacterium. RNAcentral's name for it is "bacterial SSU rRNA". It matches the Rfam family "Bacterial small subunit ribosomal RNA", at positions 28 to 507 of the family's 1533-position model. The record is from RNAcentral.